Molecule: ribosomal RNA, 467 nt
Filed under: uncultured bacterium
Lineage: Bacteria
Description: partial 16S ribosomal RNA
Rfam family: Bacterial small subunit ribosomal RNA
Source: RNAcentral
GACGAACGCUGGCGGCGUGCUUAACACAUGCAAGUCGAACGGAAAGGCCCUGCUUUUGUGGGGUGCUCGAGUGGCGAACGGGUGAGUAACACGUGAGUAACCUGCCCUUGACUUUGGAAUAACUUCAGGAAACUGGGGCUAAUACCGGAUAGGGGCUCCUGCUGCAUGGUGGGGGUUGGAAAGUUUCGGCGGUUGGGGAUGGACUCGCGGCUUAUCAGCUUGUUGGUGGGGUAGUGGCUUACCAAGGCUUUGACGGGUAGCCGGCCUGAGAGGGUGACCGGCCACAUUGGGACUGAGAUACGGCCCAGACUCCUACGGGAGGCAGCAGUGGGGAAUAUUGCACAAUGGGCGGAAGCCUGAUGCAGCAACGCCGCGUGCGGGAUGACGGCCUUCGGGUUGUAACCGCUUUCGCCUGUGACGAAGCGUGAGUGACGGUAAUGGGUAAAGAAGCACCGGCUAACUACGUG